Molecule: ribosomal RNA, 781 nt
Filed under: uncultured bacterium
Lineage: Bacteria
Description: bacterial SSU rRNA
Rfam family: Bacterial small subunit ribosomal RNA
Source: RNAcentral
AUUGCGAAGGCAGCUUUCUGGAUCAUUACUGACACUGAGGAACGAAAGCAUGGGUAGCGAAGAGGAUUAGAUACCCUCGUAGUCCAUGCCGUAAACGAUGUGUGUUAGACGUUGGAAAUUUAUUUUCAGUGUCGCAGGGAAACCGAUAAACACACCGCCUGGGGAGUACGACCGCAAGGUUAAAACUCAAAUGAAUUGACGGGGACCCGCACAAGUAGUGGAGCAUGUGGUUUAAUUCGAAGAUACGCGCAGAACCUUACCAACACUUGACAUGUUCGUCGCGACUCUAAGAGAUUAGAGUUUUCGGUUCGGCCGGACGAAACACAGGUGCUGCAUGGCUGUCGUCAGCUCGUGUCGUGAGAUGUUGGGUUAAGUCCCGCAACGAGCGCAACCCUCACUUUUAGUUGCCAUCAUUAAGUUGGGCACUCUGAAAGAACUGCCAGUGAUAAGCUGGAGGAGGGUGGGGAUGACGUCAAGUCCUCAUGGCCCUUACGUGUUGGGCUACACACGUGCUACAAUGGCAUCUACAACAGGAAGCAAAACGGCAACGUUAAGCAAAUCCCGAAAAGAUGCCUCAGUUCGGAUUGCACUCUGCAACUCGAGUGCAUGAAGCUGGAAUUACUAGUAAUCGUGGAUCAGCGUGCCACGGUGAAUGCGUUCCCGGGUCUUGUACACACCGCCCGUCACACCAUGGGAGUUGGUUCUACCUUAAGGCAAGGUUUUAAACCCUUGACCACGGUAUAGUCAGCGACUGGGGUGAAGUCGUAACAAGGUAGCCGUA